RNAcentral lists this long non-coding RNA (1698 nucleotides) under Homo sapiens (human). RNAcentral's name for it is "HSALNT0047689". The record is from RNAcentral. Lineage: Eukaryota; Metazoa; Chordata; Mammalia; Primates; Hominidae.
UGAAGGCACACUGUUCCCUCUUAAAGAAGCAAGAUCAACAUUCAGAAUCGCUCAGUGACAAAUCUCAAUUGGUGGAAGAACAGGUCACCCAUGGGCAGGAAACUCCGCUCCACACAAUUGUGGUGAGACCACACCUAGACGGCUGCGUGAUGUCUUGGGUACCUGAGUAUCCAAAAACUUGGACUGAGUUCAAAGGAGAUGAUUAAAGGAAUGGGGGAAUUGGAAGUGACUGACUGAUGAGAAAAGAUUAAAGGAGCCAAAUCAAGAAACCUGACAGAGCAAUAGCUAAGGGGAAAAAUGAUAAAAGCUACAAGUACCGGGAAUGUGCAAACACCAAAAAUUUAUAAGCCUACACCCUGGACACACUGAACUGAAACAUCUACCACAAAGUGGCAUCUAUUUCCGACCUUGCCAACAAUUUCAGCUUCCUGCUUACACUGUGCAGCUUCAUUUUAUGUCAAUAGUGGUUUCAUGCAGAGAACAAGAUCUAAAUGUGGAAAAGCGUUAAGAAACCAUCCCCCAAAUCGCUGUCACAUAACUUGAAGUGGAAGGGAGCCCAAAGAUCAGGAGAGAGGCACAGGAUCUGAAAGCUCAGUGGGAUCAGAUAGACUGUACUGGAGAAAGUUUUUCAAGAUCAAGUUCCUGAAAUGACAAUCACUCAUCCCUCCCUGAGAAAGAGAAAAUGCACGUGUGCUCACAGGAGCCUGCUAAGGGGUCUGGGGUUAUGCAGAAACAGUUCCUUGUACUUUUUUGUACUUCUCCAGGGUAUAUAUAUUUAUACAGAAACCUCCUCUUAUUACAUUAAAAUCCGGUAACUUAUCAAUAUAUUAAUUGCCAUCCAUGACUUGCCCUUCUUAGAAGUAGUAAGACUGAAGAAUUUUCUUUUUAAUUUCAAAGUUAUAUGCAGAACUACCUUAACUUGUUUUUAUUACCUUUAAUUAGCUUAAUAAUCUUCACAUUUCCUUGUUGAAUAACUGCUAACUUAAUGUGUUGCCAUAAUGCAUUUUUAAAUUACUGCUUUAAAACAUUCAGUGCUGAUUUCCAGUUUCCACUCACUGUAUUAAUUAUCUAUAAAUAUGUGUGAGAUUUCCUUCAGCAGAUUUUCACAAUCUCCUUAUUAUUACUAUAUAGACAAUUUAAGGUGCUACAACAAUUAAAAGUUCAACAUCCCUGUAAUUUACUCAACCAUAUAAUUGAUAUUUAUAAGCUCAGCAAACCUGGUAGGAAAGAAAAACAUUAGCCAGCCCCGUUCAAGUUCACAGACCUUUAAUUUGGAUAUAAGCGUCGGGAUCUUGGUUGUAGAAACUAACAGUCCCACCCUCCUUUGUGCUCAGAUAUUUGUGCCUUUCAGGACACUGUUUCUCCUUUUUAAGCAAGAGAUGGUUUUCUUGAGCCCAUUUAUUCUUGUAAGCAUGAGUUGAAGAGGAAAGUGAACAAACCGAUUUGUGAGUUGGGUGCAGGAAAUGGACAGUUGUUGGACUCUCUUCAGCAUUAACAGAGUAGAAUGAAAAAUAAAAUGCCUAACUCCUAGCACUUGUUAUACAAUGAGGAAUGUGCCACUUACAGUCACAGAACCUCUAUUCUCUCAUCCAUACAAUGGACAUAAGAUUUGCUCAAAAUAAAGCUGAGCACCCUUGUGAAGAACUGAGGCUAUAUAAAUACAAUGCUUUGAAAACAGUGAAACGCUGAAAAUGUGAA